This 543-nucleotide ribosomal RNA is filed under the name uncultured Bacteroidota bacterium. RNAcentral describes it as "bacterial SSU rRNA". It matches the Rfam family "Bacterial small subunit ribosomal RNA", at positions 33 to 541 of the family's 1533-position model. The record is from RNAcentral. Lineage: Bacteria; Pseudomonadati; Bacteroidota.
GAUACGCUACGGCGAGCUAAUACUGCAGUUGAACGGUACAUUGGUGCUUGCACCAGAUGACGAGUGGCGCACGGGUGCGUAACGCGUAUGCAACCUACCUUUUACUAGAGUAUAGCCCAGAGAAAUUUGGAUUAAUCCUCUAUAAUAUCUUUUAAUCUCCUGAUUUUAAGAUUAAAGUUUAUAACGGUAAAAGAUGGGCAUGCGUCCUAUUAGUUUGUAGAGUGAGGUAACGGCUCACCUAGACUACGAUAGGCAGGGGCCCUGAGAGGGGGAUCCCCCACACUGGUACUGAGACACGGACCAGACUCCUACUGGAGGCAGCAGUAAGGAAUAUUGGACAAUGGACGAAAGUCUGAUCCAGCCAUGCCGCGUGCAGAGAUGACAGCCCUACGGGUUGUAAACUGCUUUAAUACAGGAAGAAACACUCCGACGUGUCGGAGCUUGACGGUACUGUAAGAAUAAGGAUCGGCUAACAUCCGUUGCCAGACAGCCGCCGUGUCAAUACGGAGGAUCCAAAGCGUUUAUUCCCGAGAAAUUCAAUUU